GUUGUCAUGUACAUGGAUUUGAACCAUACUUCUAUAUCAGCUGCCCUCCUGGAAUGGGCCCUGACGAUAUCUCCCGUUUUCACCAAAUUCUUGAGGGUAGGAUGAGAGAGGCGAAUAGGAACAGCAAUGCCCCUAAGUUUGUCCGUCGCAUUGAAGUAGUUCAGAAAAGAAGCAUCAUGUAUUACCAACAGCAGGCUUCUCAGCCUUUUCUCAAGAUUGUAGUGGCAUUGCCAACAAUGGUUACCAGUUGCCGUGGUAUUCUCGAUAGAGGUAUUCAAAUUGAC
Molecule: unclassified non-coding RNA, 284 nt
Filed under: Hevea brasiliensis (rubber tree)
Lineage: Eukaryota; Viridiplantae; Streptophyta; Magnoliopsida; Malpighiales; Euphorbiaceae
Source: RNAcentral